ACACGACUCUCGGCAACGGAUAUCUCGGCUCUCGCAUCGAUGAAGAACGUAGCGAAAUGCGAUACCUGGUGUGAAUUGCGGAAUCCCGCGAACCAUCGAGUCUUUGAACGCAAGUUGCGCCCGAGGCCAUUCGGCUGAGGGCACGCCUGCCUGGGCGUCACG
Molecule: ribosomal RNA, 162 nt
Filed under: x Agropogon lutosus
Lineage: Eukaryota; Viridiplantae; Streptophyta; Magnoliopsida; Poales; Poaceae
Description: 5.8S ribosomal RNA
Rfam family: 5.8S ribosomal RNA
About the family: 5.8S ribosomal RNA (5.8S rRNA) is a component of the large subunit of the eukaryotic ribosome. It is transcribed by RNA polymerase I as part of the 45S precursor that also contains 18S and 28S rRNA.
Source: RNAcentral